GCCCCGGGCGGGCUCCACACCCACCUGCUUCCCUCGGCGGCUCCGGCUCCACUGAGCCGGAGGGUCCGCGGCCCCGCGGGCGCCGCGCACGGGGCGGCGGGGAAAGCCCGGGGCGCCCCGGCCAGGAUGCGCUUGGAGGCUUCGCGGGAUUCCCUGGACCCCUCUGUUUUCGGCCGCGGAGUUAUCCCCCGGCCCUCCCCACACACCCCUGACCCUGGCCCGCUGCUCGACCCCGGGGGACUGGGGAGAGGAGAGCCAGCUCCUGAGUGAUGACCCGGAGUAUCCCCAGGGAAGGAGCGCGCGGGUAACGAGGAGCGCAGAGAGGAUCCGACUUUCCUCCGAGCUCCUCCAGCUCUAUUUGGGGGCCGUCGCCAGCUCCAUAAUCCCCGCUUUCCCAGAGAACUGUGCCAAGUUCCUCCUUGGAGAGGCAGCCAGAUGGACACCCAGAACUUUCCGUAUCUUCGUGUCGAGGAUGAAAAUCUGGUUAAAACAAAUGUAGACGUUGACAAGCACAAUCUACAAAAAGGAGAGAAAAGGAAAAGAAAUAACCUAUUGGUGGUCCUCAAAGGGAUGGAGUAACAUCAAGAAGGGCUUCCCAGAUGGCUCAGUGGUAAAGAAUCUACUUGCUAAUGCACGAAAUGCAGGUUUGAUACCUGGGUCAGGAAGAUCCCCAGAGAAGGAAAAUGGCAACCCAGUCCAGUAUUCUUGCCUUGGAAAUCUCACGGACAGAGGAACCUGCCGAGCUACAGUCCCGAGGGUCGCAAAAGAAUGGCACACGACUUAGUGACUAAACAACAACAACAACAAUAUCAGGAAAAGACUGCAACUCUAUACAGAAAAGAAAAAGGCAAAUGCACCUCACAGAGAACUGGGACACUGUGAAUCAUCUACUUUUGAAUUCUUAAAAUUGGAAAUUAG
Molecule: long non-coding RNA, 918 nt
Organism: Bos taurus (domestic cattle)
Lineage: Eukaryota; Metazoa; Chordata; Mammalia; Artiodactyla; Bovidae
Source: Ensembl